This 356-nucleotide long non-coding RNA is filed under the name Nicotiana benthamiana. RNAcentral describes it as "long non-coding RNA (NBEN_LNC004502)". Lineage: Eukaryota; Viridiplantae; Streptophyta; Magnoliopsida; Solanales; Solanaceae. The record is from RNAcentral.
UGAGAGGAAGCAAAAUGGGAGUACUGGUGGAGAGAUUGAGAGAUAUGGUUCUAGAGAAGAAAGGUGGAGAUCUCCUCCUAGCUCUAACCGAGGCAAUGGUUAUGAUUAUGGUGAGUUCAGGGAUGAGCCUGCUUAUGGAAUGAGGAAGUCACGAUCAUCUGGGGAUGUGAGAGAGUCAACACAGGAGCGGAAAGAUGUGACUCCAGCUGCUUACGGAAUGAGGAAGUCACGAUCAUCUGGGGAUGUGAGAGAGUCAACACAGGAGCGGAAAGAUGUGACUCCAUUAAGAGAGAUGAACCCUGAGAAGAUCUUUGGGAAGAUGACUCAUUUGCAGCGGUUGUUGGAUCGGUUUUUGU